Molecule: ribosomal RNA, 253 nt
Filed under: uncultured bacterium
Lineage: Bacteria
Description: partial 16S ribosomal RNA
Rfam family: Bacterial small subunit ribosomal RNA
Source: RNAcentral
UACGUAGGGGGCUAGCGUUGUCCGGAAUCAUUGGGCGUAAAGCGCGUGUAGGCGGUCCGGUAAGUCCGCUGUGAAAGUCGGGGGCUCAACCCUCGAAUGCCGGUGGAUACUGUCGGGCUAGAGUUCGGAAGAGGCGAGUGGAAUUCCCGGUGUAGCGGUGAAAUGCGCAGAUAUCGGGAGGAACACCAAUGGCGAAGGCAGCUCGCUGGGACGUUACUGACGCUGAGACGCGAAAGCGUGGGGAGCAAACAGG